AUUGAACGCUGGCGGCAGGCCUAACACAUGCAAGUCGAGCGGAUGAAGGGAGCUUUCUCCUGGAUUCAGCGGCGGACGGGUGAGUAAUGCCUAGGAAUCUGCCUGGUAGUGGGGGAUAACGUCCGGAAACGGGCGCUAAUACCGCAUACGUCCUGAGGGAGAAAGGGGGGGAUCUUCAGACCUCACGCUAUCAGAUGAGCCUAGGUCGGAUUAGCUAGUUGGUGGGGUAAAGGCCUACCAAGGCGACGAUCCGUAACUGGUCUGAGAGGAUGAUCAGUCACACUGGAACUGAGACACGGUCCAGACUCCUACGGGAGGCAGCAGUAGGGAAUCUUGGGCAAUGGGCGAAAGCCUGAUGCAGCCAUGCCGCGUGUGUGAAGAAGGUCCUCGGAUUGUAAAGCACUUUAAGUUGGGAGGAAGGGAAGUAAGUUAAUACAUUGCUGUUUUGACGUUACCAACAGAAUAAGCAACGGCUAACUUCGUG
Molecule: ribosomal RNA, 484 nt
Filed under: uncultured bacterium
Lineage: Bacteria
Description: partial 16S ribosomal RNA
Rfam family: Bacterial small subunit ribosomal RNA
Source: RNAcentral